CCGAGGAGAGAAAGUCGCCGGCGUCUUGGGGGCUAAGAGGUGGCAGCCCCAUUUCCGGAGACGAAUUUAGACACCCAGUGUGACAGCUCCUGGGGACCCUGGAGGGCAGCUGAGUGAGCUGGUCCUUCUUCCUCAGGACAGGGUGAUGGAUGCAGGCGUGGCAGGUGGCUGCAUCCGCUUGGAGAAGAGAAUUUGUCUCGGUGGACGUGACACCGAGGAGAUGCUGGUCUGGGACGACGUGGGCACAGGAAACGUGACCCACGAGAUAGAGAGCCGCCCCCCAGCUGCGUGAGCACCUACCUCCUGCAUCGACCCUGUACUACCGAAGCCUGAGCAACUUUGAUCCCACACUGAGCCUGAGGCCGGCAGCAGCUGGACGGACGAGGACAUAUACUAUGGCUGCAAAUCUUCCGAUUUUGGGAAAGGCAGGCUCCUGAAUGUCUGAAGAUGUGACCUGAUGAGUUCUGGGUGACCGUGGGGAGCCCCUUCUCAGAGGCAGAUGAUCGGAGGUCUCCAGGAUGGUGAGCUCUGCAGCUGUCCAGAUGUUUGAGGGCGGAUUCCUGCCCAGGAACCAGAGACGGUCAGCACCCAGAGGGCGGGCUUCUGCGAGGUUUGGGGCAGGUGGCAGAUGUGGAAAAAGGCAGCGACAGGAGAAAGUCCUCUCACACAGGGUUAUGCACAUGGCACGGAGGUGGUGGUGUUUCCUGCACGGCCAUGUGUGUGCCUGUGCGCA
Molecule: long non-coding RNA, 733 nt
Organism: Canis lupus familiaris (dog)
Lineage: Eukaryota; Metazoa; Chordata; Mammalia; Carnivora; Canidae
Exons: 4
Source: RefSeq, a predicted model, not a curated record